This is a long non-coding RNA of Amphiprion ocellaris (clown anemonefish), 568 nucleotides long. Lineage: Eukaryota; Metazoa; Chordata; Actinopteri; Pomacentridae. The record is from Ensembl.
GUAGGUUUCCCAGAGACUAUGGGUUGAGGAGGAAUUGGAAGUUUGUCGGCUUAGACCUGGUGUCAUUCCAUCAGUGUUAAACUUCCCGGCUCAUCUUGGAAGAGUACGUGCCAGAAAGACCACGACCAAGCAGCCUUGAGAUCUUAGGCAGCGUCUCCCUGAGGUCCCGCUCUAUCUCCCCACACAUCCACCAACCACUGGAACACAUCUCCAAAGUUCUGCCUGGACCAGCUCAGCUUCCCCUCAGAAGAAGUGCUGCCACCUGCCAGAUGAAGGAGCCUUUUGAGAGGCAGCUGGCAUCAUGAUUGGACUGUACUUUGGUCUGUUCCAAUCCAGCUUCAGCUCCAGAGACGGCAGGCGGGACGAGUCAACGGAGGCCUGGUGGACGAAGGCAUGAAGCUGAGUACAAUCCAGAAAACAACAGAGGAGGAGUGCAGCAGCCCAAAGCCAGAACAACCAGAGUAGCAUCGUAUGUCUCUUAGAAAACAUCAUAGUAUAGCCUUUGGUAUGAAAAAACACCAUCAUAUACAUCGUAUAUUGUACAAAUAACAAGUCAAAGGAAAGAGAC